Neogale vison (American mink) is the source of this 100-nucleotide long non-coding RNA. RefSeq lists it as uncharacterized. The transcript has 3 exons. The record is from RefSeq and is a predicted model, not a curated record. Lineage: Eukaryota; Metazoa; Chordata; Mammalia; Carnivora; Mustelidae.
AACCCACUGAGCUACACAGACUACUAGAGCUAUUUCUCCACAGCAGUUUUCCCUUCUGAAGCUGAACAGCAGCAAGAGACCACAAGGAGGCAGAGAGGCA